ACUCUCUCGAUCUUUCUCUCGGAGCCGCGCGCCUGAAUCAGACGUGUCGCCGGAAUGUUCAGCAACAAUUUGUGCAAGUCUGCAUAAAUUGUUGCUGAACACUUCCUAUUAAUUGAGAUUACUCUAAAAUAUCCUCCAAUUGCCGCGCUUUCAUUACAACGUUCAGUUCGUUAUUUUCAACCUUACAAGCUGUACCCAACUUUCGCCUGGAACACACAAGUUCUUCCAGCAGCCAGUAGAGACGCAGUGAAGAAAUACUCGUCUUCGAGUAACCAACGCACUCUACUGGGAAAUGAUCUGGCGAGAGGAAUAUCAGCUGUUGAGGAUCUACUGCUGAUUUAUUAUAGUUUUUUUAAUCGGUUCUCUACAUGUUGUGGAAAUUUUAGUUAAUUUUAGAAUCAUUCUAAUUAAUUUUUAAUAGUUUUGAGCUAUGUUUCUAUAUUCUAUUCAUAUUGUGAUUGUACUAAGAGAGCAAACCUACCACUGAAACUUAUGACCUGUAUUCUAUAAUUUAAUAUUUUCAUUUAUAUUUGUGACUCGUAAAUAUUAUUCGUGUACUUUCUAUUAUAAUUUGGUUUGUGCCCCGGAUUGCAGGAAUAUUCUGCUGAAAAUACUAAUCCUGGGACUUGGGCUAAAGGAAUGGGAGACCACUUAAUGCGAAUGUAGUCACAUUUUAAUCAUUGUAUAUCGAUGUUAGUGUUUUAGUGAUUAUGUAUUUGUGUCUAGUAUAUUGUUAUGUGGUGACUGGUCGCUGCCUGCGCCGCUACCAUCGAGGCGGUCAGAACUGCAAGGUUACUUUAUGUUAGUGUGUGGACAGGAUUAUUCUAAUAUUACAAGCAGGUAUACUCAUCUCUAUAUAGUGUUUUUCGGCUUCUAUACUUAAUAAUAGCCUAAUAAUAGUAAUGUAAUCGAUUUAUAUACUACUUUCUGCCAACAUUGUACAGGUCGUGGCGCGGCGAAAACAGCAUUGUGGUGGAGGCUGAAGACCUCCCCUACGGUGGUAACGUCGAGUUUGAAGCAAAUAUUUGCACGACCUUUUAAAGGUGUACCCCAGUAUGUUGCGAGGGUCCACUUUAUAAAUCGAUAUCACAGAAUUGCGUCUGUCCAACAUUAACAAAUGCAAUUUGAUCAUUUUCUCAUUUUUAUAAAGGUAAUUUGUCUAAGACUGUCAUUCAGUUGAUGAGAUGCAGUGGGUCGUUUUUACAAUUCGAUAUCAGUUUCUGUAUAGUUAAUUUGUUUUAUAUUCUUUAUGUAUAAAAUACUAUUCUUAUUAUUUUGUUAUCCAUUAUUAAAGUUUCUUCGAAAUAUUGUCAUUAUACUGUUAAGUAGUUGAUGUUAUAAUUGGAUACAAAUUAGAUCAGGCGAACUUUCAUAGGAACAUAAAUUUAAAAUACUUACUGUUCUUUAAAUGAUUUAUAUAAUUAUUAAAUUAUUCGACUUUAGUGUUGAUGUGUUUGAGAGUGAUGCUUCUAGAUUAUUUUCAGAUUGUUAUUCUGUUUAGGGAGCCAACUUACAAAAACAAUAGAAGCAUCGCGUGACCUUUAUACGUUACAGAUAAUUUAAUGCGCUAUAUUCUUUAUUAAUUUUAAAUUUUUAUUUGUGUUUGUGAUGAGUUAGCAACUGUAUUCUUGUAUUCUAUUCGUCUUGUUAUUCAGUUCAUUCCCCGGACUGCAGGAAAAUUCCGAUGAUAACACUAGUCCUGGGAGUUUGCCUAUUGGAAUGAGACAACGCUGAAUGCAAAAGGAGGCAUAUUUUAACUGUUUUGUAUCGGUGUUAGUAUUUUAAAUAUCAUGAAUGUCUAUAUAUUCAUUUAUAUGUUCCCACACCAUCUGUCACGAAAUAGCGUACAUGGGUGUUGAAAGGAACUUUAGGACUCUAUGUCAGUCAUUGGAAAAUAGUAUAAUAAUAUGUAUUAAUCUUAUUUAACUAGCCUCUGAUGAAGAGGUCCGGACAGUAAUUUUACCACAGGAGGCUGCUGCAGCGUGAUCGGUCGCCAUCGCCUCAUCAGAUGUUCAGCAGGGUGCACCACGCGCCGGUGAAGUCGGCUUAGCAUUCAAAAUAGUAAUACAGACUGCCCAUACCUUAUAAAAUUUGUGGAAUUUAAAAUUAGCAAAACAUGCGAACUAUGUGUCUGUAUUUUCAAUAGUGUCUGUCGGACUGUUGUGGUUUGAGUAGUAUCAUGAUUAAUGUAUGCGCAAAGUGCGAGAUUUUUUUGUACUCGCUACUUAUCUAUCUUGUUAGUGUGUAAGCAAUGUAACAAUGUAACAGUAACAUGUUUAGUGGUGUAUUGUAGCAAACGCGAAAACGCGAACAUUGUGGAUUAUUUCUCAUCCAGAUAAUCUCUUUAAAUUACACAUUUUUUGAAUAUUAGAUACAUAAACUAAUUAUGUAUCAUAAGUGAAAUAAUCAUGUCUUAAGGAUUGGAUCUUGGCCCACCCCGCAAGGUUCGUGGUCGGUGGGUCGCCACGCCUCGCAUACGGAUCGGCAGGGUGCACCACGCGGCGCUGAGGGUGGCUUGGCUUUGGAAACAUAUUUAGAGGAACUUUUUAACCCAUAAUGGAUGUAAUUUCAUAUUAGCAAAUCAUGCGAUCUUUGUGUCUGUACUUUUGAUGUUUAAGUGUCUGACUAUCAAUAUUUCAGUAGUAAUUUAAUCAUUCAUAUCCGCGCAAAGGACGAGGCUCUUCUGUAUUGUAAUCUAACUUGUUAGUUUGUAAGCAGUGUAACAAUAUUUAAAGGAUUAAAAAAUAAAGGCUCCAAGCGAA
This 2762-nucleotide long non-coding RNA is filed under the name Manduca sexta (tobacco hornworm). Its description in RNAcentral is "uncharacterized LOC115447439". The record is from RNAcentral. Lineage: Eukaryota; Metazoa; Arthropoda; Insecta; Lepidoptera; Sphingidae.